RNAcentral lists this ribosomal RNA (264 nucleotides) under uncultured archaeon. Its description in RNAcentral is "partial 16S ribosomal RNA". It matches the Rfam family "Archaeal small subunit ribosomal RNA", at positions 714 to 982 of the family's 1478-position model. The record is from RNAcentral.
AGACGUCUACAUUAGAUACCCCUGUAGUCCCAGCCGUAAACUAUGCGCGUUAGGUGUAUCGGUGACCACGAGUUACCGAGGUGCCGAAGGGAAACCGUGAAACGUGCCGCCUGGGAAGUACGGUCGCAAGGCUGAAACUUAAAGGAAUUGGCGGGGAGCACAACAACGGGUGGAGCCUGCGGUUUAAUUGGACUCAACGCCGGGAAGCUCACCGGAUAGGACAGCAGAAUGAUUGCCGGGCUGAAGACCCUGCAUGACUAGCUG